RNAcentral lists this ribosomal RNA (454 nucleotides) under uncultured bacterium. Its description in RNAcentral is "partial 16S ribosomal RNA". It matches the Rfam family "Bacterial small subunit ribosomal RNA", at positions 28 to 507 of the family's 1533-position model. The record is from RNAcentral.
GAUGAACGCUGACGGAAUGCUUAACACAUGCAAGUCUACUUGAACUUCGGUUUGGGUGGCGGACGGGUGAGUAACGCGUAAAGAACUUGCCUCACAGUUAGGGACAACAUUUGGAAACGAAUGCUAAUACCUGAUAUUAUGAUUUUAGGGCAUCCUAGGAUUAUGAAAGCUAUAUGUGCUGUGAGAGAGCUUUGCGUCCCAUUAGCUAGUUGGAGAGGUAACGGCUCACCAAGGCGAUGAUGGGUAGCCGGCCUGAGAGGGUGAACGGCCACAAGGGGACUGAGACACGGCCCUUACUCCUACGGGAGGCAGCAGUGGGGAAUAUUGGACAAUGGACCAAAAGUCUGAUCCAGCAAUUCUGUGUGCACGAUGACGUUUUUCGGAAUGUAAAGUGCUUUCAGUUGGGAAGAAAAAAAUGACGGUACCAACAGAAGAAGUGACGGCUAAAUACGUG